This 254-nucleotide ribosomal RNA is filed under the name uncultured bacterium. RNAcentral describes it as "partial 16S ribosomal RNA". It matches the Rfam family "Bacterial small subunit ribosomal RNA", at positions 524 to 776 of the family's 1533-position model. The record is from RNAcentral.
UACGGGGGGAGCAAGCGUUGUUCGGAUUUACUGGGCGUAAAGGGCGCGUAGGCGGCCUCUGCAAGUCGACUGUGAAAUCUCCGGGCUUAACCCGGAACGGUCAGCCGAUACUGCAGGGCUAGAGUGCAGAAGGGGCAACUGGAAUUCUCGGUGUAGCGGUGAAAUGCGUAGAUAUCGAGAGGAACACCUGCGGCGAAGGCGGGUUGCUGGGCUGACACUGACGCUGAGGCGCGAAAGCUAGGGUAGCAAACGGG